This 500-nucleotide ribosomal RNA is filed under the name uncultured marine eukaryote. RNAcentral describes it as "SSU rRNA". It matches the Rfam family "Eukaryotic small subunit ribosomal RNA", at positions 612 to 1124 of the family's 1831-position model. The record is from RNAcentral.
GUUGCAGUUAAAAAGCUCGUAGUUGGAUUUCUGGGAGGGUGCCAAUGUCCGUCGUCGUACGUGUUGCAGCGGCGCCCUUCCAUCCUUCUGUUAACGACUUUGGGCAUUCACUUGCCGGAGUCGGGCUCAGAUAUUUUACCUUGAGAAAAUUAGAGUGUUUCAGGCAGGCUAGGCCGGAAUACAUUAGCAUGGAAUAAUGGAAUAGGACUACGGUCUCUUUGUUGGUUUGAGGGACUGCAGUAAUGAUUAAUAGGGCUAGUUGGGGGCAUUAGUAUUUAAUUGUCAGAGGUGGAAUUCUCGGAUUUGUUAAAGACUAACUUAUGCGAAAGCAUUUGCCAAGGAUGUUUUCAUUAAUCAAGAACGAAAGUUAGGGGAUCAAAGACGAUCAGAUACCGUCCUAGCCUUAACCAUAAACUAUGGCCGACUCGGGAUCGGGGGCGCCAACUAUCCGCCUUCGGCACCGUAUGAGAAAUCAAAGUCUUUGGGGUUCUGGGGGGAUA